RNAcentral lists this ribosomal RNA (465 nucleotides) under Vreelandella stevensii. RNAcentral's name for it is "partial 16S ribosomal RNA". It matches the Rfam family "Bacterial small subunit ribosomal RNA", at positions 338 to 795 of the family's 1533-position model. Lineage: Bacteria; Pseudomonadati; Pseudomonadota; Gammaproteobacteria; Oceanospirillales; Halomonadaceae. The record is from RNAcentral.
CCUACGGGCGGCAGCAGUGGGGAAUAUUGGACAAUGGGCGAAAGCCUGAUCCAGCCAUGCCGCGUGUAUGAAGAAGGCCUUCGGGUUGUAAAGCACUUUCAGUGGGGAAGAAAGCCUUGGGGCUAAUACCCUCGAGGAAGGACAUCACCCACAGAAGAAGCACCGGCUAACUCCGUGCCAGCAGCCGCGGUAAUACGGAGGGUGCGAGCGUUAAUCGGAAUUACUGGGCGUAAAGCGCGCGUAGGCGGUCUGAUAAGCCGGUUGUGAAAGCCCCGGGCUCAACCUGGGAACGGCAUCCGGAACUGUCAGGCUAGAGUGCAGGAGAGGAAGGUAGAAUUCCCGGUGUAGCGGUGAAAUGCGUAGAGAUCGGGAGGAAUACCAGUGGCGAAGGCGGCCUUCUGGACUGACACUGACGCUGAGGUGCGAAAGCGUGGGUAGCAAACAGGAUUAGAUACCCGAGUAGUC